This 130-nucleotide microRNA precursor is filed under the name Amphimedon queenslandica. RNAcentral's name for it is "Aqu-Mir-2018_pre stem-loop". Lineage: Eukaryota; Metazoa; Porifera; Demospongiae; Haplosclerida; Niphatidae. The record is from RNAcentral.
UGUCGGAGCCGGAGGUUCCGGAGAAAGAUAAAAGCCCAUGCAGGCAUUGGAAUGACAUAAACCGGUUGUACUGGUUUGUUCCAUUGUUUGGUGCAAUGGCUUAGCCUCCGGGACCUUGGACCUCGACACA